UCCUGAUGGAAUUUUUCCAGUCUUCUAUGUGAAGGCUCACUCAUGAGUUUAAAUAUCACAUGGAUUCUCCUGUAUGGUAAACCUAAGACAAACAAAAGUUUUCCAGAUGCAAAGCCAACUUCUCAGCAUGUGUCAAGAUGUACUCCACGUACACACCUGUAUGUCUCAAAUCAAAAACUUCUGCUAAUUACAGUGUGGUCCUCCAGAACUCCUCAUGGUGAGAGCAUGAAAGAAGAUCAUAAUUUUGCAAGUUACUGUGAAUGAGAUCAUGGAUACUGGAAGUCGUGUUUACCCUGAAUCAGUUUCACCCAAGACUUAAAUCCUCUUUAAAGCCAAUGAAUCCACUCAAGGACAGAUACUAUUAUUCUGUUCGAUAUUAUUAUAUGAAAUAGAUUUCUACAUGAUUACCACUUAUUGAAAG
This 421-nucleotide long non-coding RNA is filed under the name Heterocephalus glaber (naked mole-rat). Its description in RNAcentral is "lncRNA (ENSHGLG00000042000.1)". Lineage: Eukaryota; Metazoa; Chordata; Mammalia; Rodentia; Bathyergidae. The record is from RNAcentral.